Molecule: long non-coding RNA, 163 nt
Filed under: Anas platyrhynchos platyrhynchos (common mallard)
Lineage: Eukaryota; Metazoa; Chordata; Aves; Anseriformes; Anatidae
Description: lncRNA (ENSAPLG00000030525.1)
Source: RNAcentral
ACGAUUACACUUUGCAUCCUAUAAACCUCUCCAUGCCUACAAGAUUAGAGAUGUAAUAUCAGCACUGCUAUUAGAUGGCACAUUUUUGAAAGAGACCCUGCUUCACCUCCUCAAAUGAUCUAGUAGACAUCAACAACAGAGAAUUCAGGAAGAAGGUACAAGA